This 84-nucleotide transfer RNA is filed under the name Nanobdellota archaeon. Its description in RNAcentral is "tRNA-Ser". It matches the Rfam family "tRNA". From Rfam's summary of the family: Transfer RNA (tRNA) molecules are approximately 80 nucleotides in length. Their secondary structure includes four short double-helical elements and three loops (D, anti-codon, and T loops). Further hydrogen bonds mediate the characteristic L-shaped molecular structure. tRNAs have two regions of fundamental functional importance: the anti-codon, which is responsible for specific mRNA codon recognition, and the 3' end, to which the tRNAs corresponding amino acid is attached (by aminoacyl-tRNA synthetases). tRNAs cope with the degeneracy of the genetic code in two manners: having more than one tRNA (with a specific anti-codon) for a particular amino acid; and 'wobble' base-pairing, i.e. permitting non-standard base-pairing at the 3rd anti-codon position. The record is from RNAcentral. Lineage: Archaea; Nanobdellati; Nanobdellota.
GCCGGCGUCACUUAACCUGGUAUAGUGCUGGUCUCGAAAACCAGUGCCUUCACGGGCAUGUAGGUUCAAAUCCUACCGCCGGCG